CGUAACAAAUUCUGCUUUAUGAAGCAGGAAGGCCUCAUAAAAGUUUGCCAACUUUUCCCUGUCGCUGCACAACCAAAAGUCCAGGGGGCGGAGUCAGAUAAGAUCCAGCUCGUCCCACUAGGGCGGGGUCGAACCAUUCGACUGACCUCGGAAGCGGGAAUUUGGCGAAUGACGUCAUUUUCGAGCUCUGGGGCUAGCUAACUGCUGAGUGCCAUUCAGGGGUGGACUCGAUCUUCUGCUUCAGAUUGUUGUUUUGCAGCAUAAUCCAACUGCACUUGAGCAUCAGAUCAUGGACGUCCUCCUUCAGGAUUCUCUGUGGCUUUCACAGUGGCUUUCACUGUGUCAGAAUCCAUAGUUCUGUCAAUGGAGCAAACCAUCCCCAGGCCAUCACACUACCACCACCAUGUCUGACUGUUGGUAUGAUGUUCUUAUUAUGGAAUGCUGUUAGCUUUAUACCAGAAGUAAUGGGACUCAUGUCUUCCAAAAAAUUAUACUUUCAUCUCAUCAGUCUACAAAACAUUAUCCCAAAUAUUCUGAAGGUCAUCAAGGUGUUUUUUUGACAAAUGUGAGAUGAGCCUUUAUGUUCCUCUUGGUUAGCAGUGGGUUUUGCCUUGCAACACUCAUGGAUACCAUUUUCACCCAGUCUUAUUCUAAAUGUGAAAUUACAAACACUGGCCUUAUAUGAGGUGAGUGAGGCAUGUAGUCCCUUAGAUGGUCACCUGGUUCUUUUAUGACUUCGUGGAUAGGUUGUCAAUUAGCUCUUGUAAGAAUUUUGGUAUGCUGGCCACUUGUGGGAAGAUUCACCACUGUUCUAAGAUUUCUCCAUUUGGAGAUAAUGGCUGUCACUGUGGUUUGCUGGAGUCCCUGAGCCUUAGAAAUGGCUCCAUAACCAUUUUCAGACUGAUAUUUCAACAAUUUACUUUUUCAUCUCUUCCAGAAUUUCUUUUGAUUAUGGCAUAGUGUGCUGCUUGUUGAGACCUUUUAGCCAACUUCACAUUGCUGUAAAGGUUUUUAUGAGAGUGAUGUUUAAAUUGCACAGGGUUGGCAGUAAUCAAGCCAUGGUGCGUCUAGUCUAAUUGAACCCAAUUAUCAAUUAAAUCUGUUUAAUUGUUUGAGUAAAUAGGGGGGGGGGGCACUUAUUAAUAUUAACGAGUGAAGUGCUACCCGACUGACCAGUGAAAUACUCCAGCUCUGACACUUCAUACUACAGCUUUAAGAACCAUGGAAAUCCACAUCACCAAACGAAACGGUUUGCAAACCAAAGGCGUUUUCACACGGUCCGAAUACCCGAGACCACACCUAGACCUGAGCCUGGGCUUGUAUGGGCAAAAUGGUGAACACCAACACUAAAGUGAGGAAGAGCGCUUUUUGGAUCCGUGGCAUGUCAUCUUUGCAGGAAACGAGGAGCGGUUCUACAAGAACGUUUUUAGCCAUGCAGGCCCGCAGGAAAGGUGUGGUUUCCAUGACGCUCUCAGUGCGAACACUUGCACCACAAAGGUGAGCCAAUUACAGCAAUGCAGCCCUGAAAGUCUGGCUUUAUAAAACAAUAACGAUCCUUUCCCCUGCACCAUGGAAGCAGAAACAGGAAAUGGCCUUACAAGCUGAACCAAUCGCAUUGCUCGGCAUGCCGGAAAUCACAGCAGUAACACCGAGCACAGAGGACAUCCGACUGAAGAAAACAUUUUCAAGAGGACCAGGGAUCGAUUACCUGGACCGCUCCACGGCUCAAACAUAGCACCUAACUCCGGGUUCAAGCAGCUUGUGUUGUGUCCCAGAAAGAAACACAACCGUGAAAACAACCUUAGGUUGAAAAGUAAAUAAAAGGUAAACUGGCACAGUCACAAAAAAAAGAAACAAACUGUACAGGCUAUUAUU
Long non-coding RNA from Ictalurus punctatus (channel catfish), 1875 nucleotides. RefSeq lists it as uncharacterized. The transcript has 3 exons. The record is from RefSeq and is a predicted model, not a curated record. Lineage: Eukaryota; Metazoa; Chordata; Actinopteri; Siluriformes; Ictaluridae.